This 878-nucleotide ribosomal RNA is filed under the name Aureobasidium pullulans. RNAcentral's name for it is "eukaryotic LSU rRNA". It matches the Rfam family "Eukaryotic large subunit ribosomal RNA", at positions 40 to 938 of the family's 3401-position model. Lineage: Eukaryota; Fungi; Ascomycota; Dothideomycetes; Dothideales; Saccotheciaceae. The record is from RNAcentral.
AUAUCAAUAAGCGGAGGAAAAGAAACCAACAGGGAUUGCCCUAGUAACGGCGAGUGAAGCGGCAACAGCUCAAAUUUGAAAGCUGGCCUUCGGGUCCGCAUUGUAAUUUGUAGAGGAUGCUUUGGGUGAAACGCCAGUCUAAGUUCCUUGGAACAGGACGUCAUAGAGGGUGAGAAUCCCGUAUGUGACUGGAAAUGUUAACCUAUGUAAAGCUCCUUCGACGAGUCGAGUUGUUUGGGAAUGCAGCUCUAAAUGGGAGGUAAAUUUCUUCUAAAGCUAAAUAUUGGCGAGAGACCGAUAGCGCACAAGUAGAGUGAUCGAAAGAUGAAAAGCACUUUGGAAAGAGAGUUAAAAAGCACGUGAAAUUGUUGAAAGGGAAGCGCUUGCAAUCAGACUUGUUUAAACUGUUCGGCCGGUCUUCUGACCGGUUUACUCAGUUUGGACAGGCCAGCAUCAGUUUCGGCGGCCGGAUAAAGGCUCUGGGAAUGUGGCCUUCACUUCGGUGAAGGUGUUAUAGCCCAGGGUGUAAUACGGCCAGCCGGGACUGAGGUCCGCGCUUCGGCUAGGAUGCUGGCGUAAUGGUUGUAAGCGACCCGUCUUGAAACACGGACCAAGGAGUCUAACAUCUAUGCGAGUGUUCGGGUGUCAAACCCCUGCGCGUAAUGAAAGUGAACGGAGGUGGGAACCGCAAGGUGCACCAUCGACCGAUCCUGAUGUCUUCGGAUGGAUUUGAGUAAGAGCAUAGCUGUUGGGACCCGAAAGAUGGUGAACUAUGCCUGAAUAGGGUGAAGCCAGAGGAAACUCUGGUGGAGGCUCGCAGCGGUUCUGACGUGCAAAUCGAUCGUCAAAUUUGGGUAUAGGGGCGAAAGACUAAUCGA